This is a non-coding RNA of Cricetulus griseus (Chinese hamster), 1179 nucleotides long. Lineage: Eukaryota; Metazoa; Chordata; Mammalia; Rodentia; Cricetidae. The record is from RefSeq and is a predicted model, not a curated record.
CAGGCAGCUUUUGGUGGAAAGAUUUAUCCUAACAGACUUCCUUACCAAACCAGAGUCUCCUGAUGGUGGGAAUGAACAAGGUCAGUUUGGAGAAAUCUCAGCAAGAUUAAAACAAGUUUAUUUCAAGUAAUCAGACUUCUUACAAAACAGAAUAUAUGGCAGGUUGCAGGCCAAACAGGACAAGAUUACUAUCAAAUGCUAAAUGUACAGCCAAGUUCUGCAUGCUUCACCAAACUCCAUGGAACAUAUAGGCCACAAAGAUGGCCUUUGUGCUUCACUACGCAAGGUAGUACAUUGGGUUCUCAAGGAUUGAAAGGCACACAAAUUGUACCAGGAGACACAGGCUCAAACCUUAAAAACACCAGUACUCAUGGCUCUCAAGGCAGCUAGACAAGACCAACCAACUCCAUGAUUCCCUGCAGUUCUACAUUUUUAAUAUACAUCCAUCAGUUGAAGAAAAUUUAAAUUGUUUCCAUUUUCCUAGCAUUGUGAUUAGAUCAGCAGUGAAUGUGGCUUAACAAGUAUCUGUAAAGUAGGAUAUAAUGUCAUUUGGACAUAGACCAUAGAGUGGUAUGGCACAAUUAUUUUUAGCUUUUUAAGAAUUCUCUACACUGAUUUCUAGAAAUGUUGGACCACUUUGUCAUCCAUCAACUAAUGAAUGGGGGUCUCCUUUUCCAUCCAUGCCCUCCAGCAUUGGUUGUGAGUUGUUUUGUUAAUAUUUGCCAUUCUGACUUGGAUAAGAGGAAAUCUCAAAGCUGUUUUAACUUGCAUUUCCCUAAUUUGUAGAGAAGAUUAACAUAUUUCUUACCCAUUUUUCUUUCUCCUUUUGGGAACUCUGUUCAGUUCCCAUGCAGAUUUUUUUUUUUAAUGAGCCAGGGUUGAUUUUGUUGUUGUUGUUUUUAAUCUUACAUUUUUGUUUGUAUGUUUUUUUUAGUUCUUCCUAUAUUCGGAAUAUUACUCCCCUGUUGGAUGUACAACUGGCAAAUACUCUCUUCCUGGAAGAAAACAGUGCAAUUUCCCUUCAUCCACCUGAUCAAUACCGUUAUUGAAGAAACUCUGUUCCCGUGUGUGGCAUGCCAGUGCUAGAGAUGAAGCCAGAGUUUCCCCCGUGGCAAGAGAUGCUCUGCCACUGAACCGCCCGCUGCUUUCAAGAAACGACAAGAAUGCUUUUCCUUCUGC